This is a non-coding RNA of Araneus ventricosus, 89 nucleotides long. The record is from the annotation of a GenBank genome assembly. Lineage: Eukaryota; Metazoa; Arthropoda; Arachnida; Araneae; Araneidae.
AACGGCCAUACCAUGCUGAAAGCACCGGUUCUCGUCUGAUUACAGCAGUUAAGCAGCAUAAGGCGCGGUCAGUACUUGGGAGGGAGGAC